This 301-nucleotide ribosomal RNA is filed under the name uncultured bacterium. RNAcentral describes it as "partial 16S ribosomal RNA". It matches the Rfam family "Bacterial small subunit ribosomal RNA", at positions 509 to 809 of the family's 1533-position model. The record is from RNAcentral.
CAGCAGCUGCGGGAAUACGAAGGGUGCAAGCGUUACUCGGAAUUACUGGGCGUAAAGCGUGCGUAGGUGGUGGUUUAAGUCCGUUGUGAAAGCCCUGGGCUCAACCUGGGAAUUGCAGUGGAUACUGGGUCACUAGAGUGUGGUAGAGGAUAGUGGAAUUUCCGGUGUAGCAGUGAAAUGCGUAGAGAUCGGAAGGAACAUCUGUGGCGAAGGCGACUAUCUGGGCCAACACUGACACUGAGGCACGAAAGCGUGGGGAGCAAACAGGAUUAGAUACCCCGGUAGUCCCUGUCUCUUAUAA